RNAcentral lists this ribosomal RNA (492 nucleotides) under uncultured bacterium. RNAcentral describes it as "partial 16S ribosomal RNA". It matches the Rfam family "Bacterial small subunit ribosomal RNA", at positions 29 to 507 of the family's 1533-position model. The record is from RNAcentral.
AGUGAACGCUGGCGGUAGGCCUAACACAUGCAAGUCGAACGGCAGCACAGUAAGAGCUUGCUCUUACGGGUGGCGAGUGGCGGACGGGUGAGGAAUACAUCGGAAUCUACUUUUUCGUGGGGGAUAACGUAGGGAAACUUACGCUAAUACCGCAUACGACCUACGGGUGAAAGCAGGGCAUCUUCGGACCUUGCGCGAUUGAAUGAGCCGAUGUCGGAUUAGCUAGUUGGCGGGGUAAAGGCCCACCAAGGCGACGAUCCGUAGCUGGUCUGAGAGGAUGAUCAGCCACACUGGAACUGAGACACGGUCCAGACUCCUACGGGAGGCAGCAGUGGGGAAUAUUGGACAAUGGGCGCAAGCCUGAUCCAGCCAUACCGCGUGGGUGAGGAAGGCCUUCGGGUUGUAAAGCCCUUUUGUUGGGAAAGAAAAGCAGCAGGUUAAUACCCCGCUGUUCUGACGGUACCCAAAGAAUAAGCACCGGCUAACUUCGUG